AAAACAUAGCCUUUAGCCAAACAAGUAUUAAAGGUGACGCCUGCCCAGUGAUUUUUCAACGGCCGCGGGACCCUACACCGUGCAAAGGUAGCAUAAUCACUUGUCAUCUAAAUAGUGACUAGUAUGAAUGGCCCAAUGAGGACUUUCCUGUCUCUUGUAACCAAUCAAUGAAACUGAUCUUUCAGUCCAAAAGCUGAAAUAUAUACACAAGACGAAAAGACCCUGUGGAACUUUAAGUGCCAAUCAACACAUGACACAACCACUUUUAGUUGGGGCAACUUUGGAACAAAACAAAACUUCCAAUUCAACCAGUAAACCGAGGCCAACACGCCAACGUCUACCUCUUACACUGACCCAGUACCACUGAUCAAAGAAACAAGCUACCCCAGGGAUAACAGCGCCAUCCCCUCUUAGAGUCCAAAUCGACGAGCGGGGCUUACGACCUCGAUGUUGGAUCAGGGCCCCCAAACAGUGCAGCAGCUGUUAAAGGUUUGUUUGUUCAACAAUUAAUG
This 512-nucleotide ribosomal RNA is filed under the name Ameiva concolor. Its description in RNAcentral is "partial 16S ribosomal RNA". It matches the Rfam family "Bacterial large subunit ribosomal RNA", at positions 1810 to 2593 of the family's 2925-position model. The record is from RNAcentral. Lineage: Eukaryota; Metazoa; Chordata; Lepidosauria; Squamata; Teiidae.